Molecule: non-coding RNA, 21 nt
Filed under: Arabidopsis thaliana (thale cress)
Lineage: Eukaryota; Viridiplantae; Streptophyta; Magnoliopsida; Brassicales; Brassicaceae
Source: RNAcentral
UUGAUGGAUUUCAGGACGCUG